CAGCCGCCGCGGUAAUACGUAGGUGGCAAGCGUUGUCCGGAAUUAUUGGGCGUAAAGGGCUCGCAGGCGGUUUCUUAAGUCUGAUGUGAAAGCCCCCGGCUCAACCGGGGAGGGUCAUUGGAAACUGGGAAACUUGAGUGCAGAAGAGGAGAGUGGAAUUCCACGUGUAGCGGUGAAAUGCGUAGAGAUGUGGAGGAACGCCGGUGGCGAAGGCGACUCUCUGGUCUGUAACUGACGCUGAGGAGCGAAAGCGUGGGGAGCGAACAGGAUUAGAUACCCCCGUAGUCCCUGUCUCUUAUAC
Molecule: ribosomal RNA, 301 nt
Filed under: uncultured bacterium
Lineage: Bacteria
Description: partial 16S ribosomal RNA
Rfam family: Bacterial small subunit ribosomal RNA
Source: RNAcentral